GACGAACGCUGGCGGCGUGCUUAACACAUGCAAGUCGAACGGAAAGGCCCUGCUUUUGUGGGGUUCUCGAGUGGCGAACGGGUGAGUAACACGUGAGUAACCUGCCCUUGACUUUCGGAUAACUUCAGGAAACUGGGGCUACUAUAGUACAGGAGCUCCUGCUGCAUGGUGGGGGUUGGAUAUUUUCGGCGGUUGCGGAUGGAUUGGCGGCUUAUCAGCUUGUUGGUGGGGUAGUGGCUUACCAAGGCUUUGACGGGUAGCCGGCAUGGGAGGGUGGACGGCGACAAUGGGACUGAGAGAGGGCCCAGACGCCUACGGGAGGCAACAGUGGGGAAUAUUGCACAAUGGGCGGAAGCCUGAUGCAGCAACGCCGCGUGCGGGAUGACGGCCUUCGGGGUGUAAAACGCAUUCGCCUGUGACGAAGCGUGAGUGACGGUAAUGGGUAAAGAAGCACCGGCUAACUACGUG
This 468-nucleotide ribosomal RNA is filed under the name uncultured bacterium. RNAcentral's name for it is "partial 16S ribosomal RNA". It matches the Rfam family "Bacterial small subunit ribosomal RNA", at positions 28 to 507 of the family's 1533-position model. The record is from RNAcentral.